Non-coding RNA from Nicotiana tabacum (common tobacco), 920 nucleotides. The record is from RefSeq and is a predicted model, not a curated record. NCBI's taxonomy places the organism in Eukaryota, Viridiplantae, Streptophyta, Magnoliopsida, Solanales, Solanaceae.
GGAGUUGUGGCUUGCAUUUUGAAACGACGCUUUUAUUCCUCUUUCAUUGUUCUUAACGGAAGUACAUGUAAUUGAGUAUUCAGAAAAGGUAAUUCAGAAGCAAAAAAAGUUUGUGGGCCUACUUUACUAAAAGAUAUUUAAAAACUUCCGCCGGAAAAGACCGUUGAUGUGCCGUUUAAUAAUCGUAACCAAGCUAUUGGGAAAGAGGGUCGAAAGCUUGCUAGCUUUCUAGGAAUUAUUUCCAGAACUUCAGAACUAACACCUCUACAUGUAGAUGAUUGGAGAAAUUUUGACAACGAGGAAAGAAGAAAUUGGUAGAUUUUGUAAGGAAGAAGUUCUCUAUCCCAAAAUGUGGAGAAGCGUGAAUCUUAAAGUCACUAGGAAAGAAAGGGAAAGAUUACAAGUCCGGAUUUAAAAGUGAGUAUAUGCGAAAAUAUAAGACUAAAGACGCUUUGCUAAAAAAUAGACCAAGUCGUAUACCAAGGGAUCAAUGGAGUAGUCUUGUCUCUUAUUGGCUUUCUGAUAAAGCUAAGAGAUAAUCGAGUUAACGGAGAAACAAAAUGAAGAAAUGAAUAAGAUGAAACAAAAUCAGGAGAAGAUGCAAUUAGAACUGCUCCAAAUGAGACAAUUCAUGCGCAAAUAUGCUCCUAAUGCAUCUAUGCCUCAAAGUAGCAAUGGCACCUCAGAUACCUGACGCCAACAGUGGAUAUGAACAAGUACCACAAAUAUCAAAGAUACCUAAUGUUACUGAAAAUGCUCAACCUUCUCACGGUCAUACACCCUAAUGUUCGAUAAUUUAGCGGGUGGAAGAUUUCAAAAUGAUGAAAAGUGCGAAAAUCAUUUGAACAUCAUUAUUUGUCUGGAUUAGUUAUAUAAUGACAUUAGUUAUUUAGUUCAAACAAUAUAAGUUUAUUUUAAGU